UGCAUAUCGAUAAAUACUUGAAUUGGAUUGGUCAAUUAGAAUUUUUCUUUAAGUUUACACUUCGAUAAACCAUGUUUCCGAAACUACUUUCGUAAUCUAUUCAUGCGCGAUUCACAAGCUUACAGGGAUCCCGGGAUUUUCGGCAAAUAGAGAUUAAAAAACAAAUGCAUAACAGUUGUGUCUAUUUUCGUGAAUAUAUGACAAAAAAUGAAAUGAAUACACUAAAGCUACGAAAAUGUAUAAACUCAAAAUUCAAAUAAAAUUCCGCGAACUUUCAUGAAUGAUUUGGCGAAUUUACGUCGUGGCUAAACACGACGUCAUACGAAUGAAAACUUUCAUUGGAAAGACUAUUUCGUUACGUGUACGCUUCAAAUUCGAAUGGUAUAUCUCAUUAAUUUGAAGUUUUGGAGGUAGGUGCUAUUCUAUUCAAGAUUCCGUUGCAAUUUUCGAACAUUUAUGGAUUUUAGAAAGUCAAUAUGGCGGCCAACUCCUUAGUUACGACAUGUCAAUUGUGGCAUUUGAUGGUUAUUAUAAUAGCAUUUACAAAACAAAAAUUUAAUGUUCUUAAAAUCGCUAUUUGUUGGCUUAAGAAUUAUAAGGAUUAAACACAUUUUUUCUAGAGGUUAUUGAUGUGUAAACCGGGGCUCUUACUCACAAACUUAACAUAA
RNAcentral lists this long non-coding RNA (668 nucleotides) under Mytilus galloprovincialis (Mediterranean mussel). The record is from RNAcentral. Lineage: Eukaryota; Metazoa; Mollusca; Bivalvia; Mytilida; Mytilidae.